Molecule: ribosomal RNA, 468 nt
Filed under: uncultured bacterium
Lineage: Bacteria
Description: partial 16S ribosomal RNA
Rfam family: Bacterial small subunit ribosomal RNA
Source: RNAcentral
GACGAACGCUGGCGGCGUGCUUAACACAUGCAAGUCGAACGGAAAGGCCCUGCUUUUGUGGGGUGCUCGAGUGGCGAACGGGUGAGUAACACGUGAGUAACCUGCCCUUGACUUUGGGAUAACUUCAGGAAACUGGGGCUAAUACCGGAUAGGAGCUCCUGCUGCAUGGUGGGGGUUGGAAAGUUUCGGCGGUUGGGGAUGGACUCGCGGCUUAUCAGCUUGUUGGUGGGGUAGUGGCUUACCAAGGCUUUGACGGGUAGCCGGCCUGAGAGGGGGACCGGCCACAUUGGGACUGAGAUACGCCCCAGACGCCUACGGGAGGCAGCAGUGGGGAAUAUUGCGCAAUGGGCGGAAGCCUGAUGCAGCAACGCCGCGUGCGGGAUGACGGCCUUCGGGUUGUAAACCGCUUUCGCCUGUGACGAAGCGUGAGUGACGGUAAUGGGUAAAGAAGCACCGGCUAACUACGUG